This 1118-nucleotide ribosomal RNA is filed under the name Vibrio parahaemolyticus. RNAcentral's name for it is "bacterial LSU rRNA". It matches the Rfam family "Bacterial large subunit ribosomal RNA", at positions 1 to 1167 of the family's 2925-position model. The record is from RNAcentral. Lineage: Bacteria; Pseudomonadati; Pseudomonadota; Gammaproteobacteria; Vibrionales; Vibrionaceae.
GUUGUAUGGUUAAGUGACUAAGCGUACACGGUGGAUGCCUUGGCAGUCAGAGGCGAUGAAAGACGUAGUAACUUGCGAUAAGCCCAGAUUAGGUAGUAACAACCAUUUGAGUCUGGAUUUCUGAAUGGGGAAACCCACGUGCAUAAGCACGUAUCCUUACCUGAAUACAUAGGGUAAGGAGGCGAACCGGGGGAACUGAAACAUCUAAGUACCCCGAGGAAAAGAAAUCAACCGAGAUUCCGAAAGUAGCGGCGAGCGAAAUUGGACUAGCCCUUAAGCUUUACACGCGUUAGACGAACGGUCUGGAAAGUCCGACGAUACAGGGUGAUAGUCCCGUAGUUGACGACGUGUGUUCAGUGAAAUCGAGUAGGGCGGGACACGUGAUAUCCUGUCUGAAUAUGGGGGGACCAUCCUCCAAGGCUAAAUACUACUGACUGACCGAUAGUGAACCAGUACCGUGAGGAAAGGCGAAAAAAGAACCCCUGUGAGGGGAGUGAAAUAGAACCUGAACCGUGUACGUACAAGCAGUAGGAGCACCUUCGUGGUGUGACUGCGUACCUUUUGUAUAAUGGGUCAGCGACUUAUAUUCAGUGGCAAGGUUAAACCAUCUAGGGGAGCCGUAGGGAAACCGAGUCUUAACUGGGCGUUCAGUCUCUGGAUAUAGACCCGAAACCAGGUGAUCUAGCCAUGGGCAGGUUGAAGGUUGAGUAACAUCAACUGGAGGACCGAACCGACUAAUGUUGAAAAAUUAGCGGAUGACUUGUGGCUAGGGGUGAAAGGCCAAUCAAACCUGGAGAUAGCUGGUUCUCCCCGAAAGCUAUUUAGGUAGCGCCUCGGACGAAUACUACUGGGGGUAGAGCACUGUUAAGGCUAGGGGGUCAUCCCGACUUACCAACCCUUUGCAAACUCCGAAUACCAGUAAGUACUAUCCGGGAGACACACGGCGGGUGCUAACGUCCGUCGUGGAGAGGGAAACAACCCAGACCGCCAGCUAAGGUCCCAAAUUACUACUAAGUGGGAAACGAUGUGGGAAGGCUCAGACAGCCAGGAUGUUGGCUUAAAGCAGCCAUCAUUUAAAGAAAGCGUAAUAGCUCACUGGUCGAGUCGGCCUGCGCGGA